This 902-nucleotide long non-coding RNA is filed under the name Fukomys damarensis (Damara mole-rat). Its description in RNAcentral is "lncRNA (ENSFDAG00000023485.1)". The record is from RNAcentral. Lineage: Eukaryota; Metazoa; Chordata; Mammalia; Rodentia; Bathyergidae.
AUUUAUGUAAUGCACAUCGAACACAGCAGAAUUUUAGCUCCUAGGAAUCUGAUUAUUUUCUCUGUGCCUUGACUCAAAAGUUUUGGGAAGCACAGUCCUCUAGUCCACUGGGGAUUUUUAGUAAGACACAUCCCUGCCAGAUUUUCCCUGGUGCUUUCAAAACUGGCCAUGAAGCCGCGGCUGCUGGCUGUGAUCAGCACGUAGAUUCGUCUCAAAAAUUCAAUCUUGUCUUCUGCCUUGAACACGCAGCAUGUCCUGGUCCCUUCACACGGGGCCCUGUGCCGGUUUGGCAAAGUGACCGGAGAGAGGUUCGUUUCCUGCAAGUCCAUUGUCCCUGCCCACUGACUUGGACAAAUCGGUCACCUAGACGUUGAGUAAAAAUUCAGAAACUUCCUUCUUCCAGCCUGCUGGAUGCUUCCACGCCCUUCCCCUUCCUCGGGGCACCAUCCGGGGCCGGGUCCCCAGGCCUUGCAGCGGACGGCUCCCACCUGGUGUCCACCCUUGGCAGGCCAUGCCUCUCCUUGCGAACUUUCCGCAGGUGUCUCAGGAAGUGGCGGUGCGGCCAGCGGUGGCGGCCCAGAGAGGCGGGGCUGGUGCUCCUGGACUUCUCUUGUCCUUCAGGUUCCAUGCCCCAGAUCCUGCAGGUGGCAGAAACCCGCCAGGCUUCUGGGGACACCCCGAGCGGUGGCCCCGGAGCGCGCGUCCCCUCCCCCGGCCUCGCUGGAGAAUCCAGCUGGGUGUACGACCGCUUGGCUCUCUGUGGCAGUAUUCCAUCGAGUCCUACGCUGGUGACCUCACACAGUGCCCAGAAGCCCAUGUCCGCAGACAGCCAGCCUACCGGAAGUCAUGUAAGCCAUGUUUUCAAAUGGCACCACACCAUGUUGAUACUUUUACAUGACAGA